RNAcentral lists this ribosomal RNA (488 nucleotides) under uncultured bacterium. Its description in RNAcentral is "partial 16S ribosomal RNA". It matches the Rfam family "Bacterial small subunit ribosomal RNA", at positions 28 to 507 of the family's 1533-position model. The record is from RNAcentral.
GACGAACGCUGGCGGCGUGCUUAACACAUGCAAGUCGAACGGAAAGGCCCGGCUUUUGUGGGGUUCUCGAGUGGCGAACGGGUGAGUAAAACGUGAGUAACCUGCCCUUGACUGUGUGAUAACUUCUGGAAACUGGGGCUAAUACCGGAGAUGAGCUCCUGCUGCAUGGGGUUGGUUGGAAAGUUUCGGCGGUUGGGGAUGUACUCGCGGCGUAUUCGCUUGUUGGUGGGGUAGUGGCUUACCCAGGCUUUGAUGGGUAGCCGACCUGAGAGGGUGAUCGGCCACACUGGAACUGAGACGCGGUCCAGACUCCUACGGGAGGCAGCAGUCGGGAAUCGGCCGCAAUGGGCGGAAGCCUGACGGAGCGACGCCGAGUGAGAGAUGAAGGUGCUCGGAUCGGAAAACUCUGUUAUGAGGUAAGAACAGAUGUGUAAGUAACUAUGCACGUCUUGACGGUACCUAGUCAGAAAGCCACGGCUAACUACGUG